AAUCUUUGCAAGUUGAGGUCACUCUAUUUGUCAGGCACCAAUUUAAGCCAAGAGAUAAAUGAGGUAUCCGAAAUUCUGUCAGGAUGUGUUUCGGAUGGAAUCGAGACAUUAUCUCUAUCCAAUUCUCAAUUAUCAGGUCAUCUUAAUAAUCUUCUUGGACAGUUCAAGAAUCUGAAUUCCCUCAUUCUUUCAAAUAAUUUGAUUACUGGCUCAAUUCCAGUCACUUUGGGUGAGCUGGCUUCCUUGACAUCUCUGGACCUUUCUCAUAACAAAUUGAAUGGAAGUCUCCCCAUAGGUU
This 298-nucleotide unclassified non-coding RNA is filed under the name Hevea brasiliensis (rubber tree). The record is from RNAcentral. Lineage: Eukaryota; Viridiplantae; Streptophyta; Magnoliopsida; Malpighiales; Euphorbiaceae.